AGCGCAACCCUCGCUGUGUGUUAUAUGUGUCACACGGGACUGCCGGUCUUAAGCCGGAGGAAGGUGGGAUGAUGUCAAGUCAGCAUGGCCUUUAUAUCCUGGGCUACACACACGCUACAAUGGCCAACACAAUAGGUUGCUAAGCCGCGAGGUGGGCGCCAAUCCAAUAGAGUUGGUCUCAGUUCAGAUUGUAGGCUGCAACCCGCCUGCAUGAAGAUGGAGUUGCUAGUAACCGCAGGUCAGCUAUACUGCGGUGAAUACGUUCCCGGGGCUU
This 274-nucleotide ribosomal RNA is filed under the name uncultured Leptolinea sp. RNAcentral describes it as "partial 16S ribosomal RNA". It matches the Rfam family "Bacterial small subunit ribosomal RNA", at positions 1095 to 1382 of the family's 1533-position model. Lineage: Bacteria; Bacillati; Chloroflexota; Anaerolineae; Anaerolineales; Anaerolineaceae. The record is from RNAcentral.